Long non-coding RNA from Vitis riparia (riverbank grape), 886 nucleotides. RefSeq lists it as uncharacterized. Lineage: Eukaryota; Viridiplantae; Streptophyta; Magnoliopsida; Vitales; Vitaceae. The record is from RefSeq and is a predicted model, not a curated record. The transcript is spliced from 4 exons.
UGGCAGCAUAGCCCUCUCCUUGGUUACCAAGUUCAUGUAUCAAAUCAAGUGGAUGAUCUCACCACCACCCCGGAAGACUUCAUGUUUCACUCAGAACUGUUCACAUGUCCAGUUCUUCGGUCUCUAAACUGCUCGAUCUAGUGUAGUGCCAACUUGUUGGCUAUAAGAAAAGCUUUCAGUAUCACUAUAGCUGUUCUAUUUUGCUGGGGUUGUCUCGAACCAUGUGCUGUAAGACAACAAUAACUUUCUCGAAGCCCUUUCAGAAGCUUAUAAUAAACCUGAAAAGUUCCCAUGGCACAGUAAGACAUUCGAAUCCUUGAGACCUACAUGGAUGAGUAAGUGGAGAUUUGGAGGUCUCAGAGGUGAAGCAAACACAGUGCAGAAUCACUAAUGUGGUGGGAGCAGAACGUGCAAUGCUACAGCUAAUUAUGAAGAGUAAGAAAUGGCAGCAAAGUCCUCUCCUUGGUUACCAAGUUCAUAUAUCAAAUCAACUGGAUGAUCUCACCUUCACACUGGCAGACUUCUUGUUUCACCCAGAAGGUUUCUCUUACUAUUGGCAUCAGAACUGUGUACAUGUCCAGUUCUUCGGUCUCUUAACUGUAAGCAUAUGAACAAUGUUUCCCAAUAUCUGUUGUGCUCAAAAGGCAUCUUAUGCAAGUCCUACAAUUUUGCCGCUUACAAACUAAUUGAGAUUGUUACUUUUAUGAAUGGAGAUAAAUAUGACAAGCUACAGAACUUAAUUUUAAAAGGGGCUCCUGCAGGCUCAUUGCUGAUGUUUUUUCCAGAUAGUCUUGAUCAUGAUUGCAAGGUUCAACAGUUAAAUUCUAGCUUUCAAGGUAGAGGCAAAACCGGCUUCCAUCUAUGCUGUUGAAAUAAAAAUAGUGCA